RNAcentral lists this unclassified non-coding RNA (344 nucleotides) under soil metagenome. Its description in RNAcentral is "partial contains 5.8S ribosomal RNA, internal transcribed spacer 2, and large subunit ribosomal RNA". The stretch from base 1 to 120 matches the Rfam family "5.8S ribosomal RNA", at positions 35 to 154 of the family's 154-position model. The record is from RNAcentral.
GAUGAAGAACGUAGCGAAAUGCGAUAAGUAAUGUGAAUUGCAGACUUCAGUGAAUCAUAGAAUCUUUGAACGCACAUUGCGCCCGCUAGUAUUCUGGCGGGCAUGCCUGUUCGAGCGUCAUUUCAACCCUCAAGCCCAGCUUGGUGUUGGGGGCCGGCCGCGACUUAACCGCCGCGGCCGCCCCCGAAAUACAGUGGCGGUCUCGCUGCAGCCUCCCUUGCGUAGUAGCACACCUCGCACCGGAGCGCGGCGCGGCCACGCCGUUAAACCCCCAAACUUCUGAAUGUUGACCUCGGAUCAGGUAGGAAUACCCGCUGAACUUAAGCAUAUCAAUAAGCGGAGGA